CAGAGUGGAAACAGAAAGUUAACUGCUUACUAGUACUAGUGAAUGCUGCCUGAAGAUUGGAACCUUUGCCCAGCACUGCUAUCCUGAGAUGAGCCAGCCAGGAAAUGGAAGAGUUGAUUUUGUUCAAACAAGCAAGCAGGAAAUCAACCUUUUGCAGUUGUUUGAAGUAGAGAGAGCCUUCAGCGAGGAAAGGAAAAUCAGAUGAUUUUGGAAAAUAUGGACAAUUUUCAACUGACUAGAAGCCCGGGGUCUCUGAAGUU
Cyanistes caeruleus (blue tit) is the source of this 260-nucleotide long non-coding RNA. RefSeq lists it as uncharacterized. The record is from RefSeq and is a predicted model, not a curated record. NCBI's taxonomy places the organism in Eukaryota, Metazoa, Chordata, Aves, Passeriformes, Paridae.